RNAcentral lists this ribosomal RNA (203 nucleotides) under Clostridioides difficile. RNAcentral's name for it is "partial 23S ribosomal RNA". It matches the Rfam family "Bacterial large subunit ribosomal RNA", at positions 635 to 836 of the family's 2925-position model. Lineage: Bacteria; Bacillati; Bacillota; Clostridia; Peptostreptococcales; Peptostreptococcaceae. The record is from RNAcentral.
AAGUAGCAAGGUUAAGCACUUAAGGUGCGGAGCCGUAGCGAAAGCGAGUUUUAACUGAGCGUUCAGUUACUUGACGUAGACCCGAAACCGGGCGACCUUCCCAUGAGCAGGAUGAAGCGAAAGUAAAAUUUCGUGGAGGUCCGAACCCACGAGCGUUGAAAAGCUCGGGGAUGACUUGUGGGUAGCGGUGAAAUUCCAAUCGA